This 71-nucleotide transfer RNA is filed under the name Loxodonta africana (African savanna elephant). It matches the Rfam family "tRNA". Rfam says of the family: Transfer RNA (tRNA) molecules are approximately 80 nucleotides in length. Their secondary structure includes four short double-helical elements and three loops (D, anti-codon, and T loops). Further hydrogen bonds mediate the characteristic L-shaped molecular structure. tRNAs have two regions of fundamental functional importance: the anti-codon, which is responsible for specific mRNA codon recognition, and the 3' end, to which the tRNAs corresponding amino acid is attached (by aminoacyl-tRNA synthetases). tRNAs cope with the degeneracy of the genetic code in two manners: having more than one tRNA (with a specific anti-codon) for a particular amino acid; and 'wobble' base-pairing, i.e. permitting non-standard base-pairing at the 3rd anti-codon position. Lineage: Eukaryota; Metazoa; Chordata; Mammalia; Proboscidea; Elephantidae. The record is from Rfam by way of RNAcentral.
GCAGUAGUGGUUCAGUAGUAGAAUUCUUGCCUUCUGCGAGAGAGACCCAGGUUCCGUUCCUGGCUGAUACA